Molecule: ribosomal RNA, 2907 nt
Filed under: Triticum aestivum (bread wheat)
Lineage: Eukaryota; Viridiplantae; Streptophyta; Magnoliopsida; Poales; Poaceae
Description: partial small subunit ribosomal RNA
Source: RNAcentral
CAAAAUCACCUAUUGCAAAGUGAAAAUGUUUUUAUUGGGACUUUUGGGUCGGGUUUAGUCUGGCGAGGCGGAGGGCGACGAGGUAGGACGGGCUCGAGGGGAGCGGGGGCGUUCGGCGGAGCGGCCGCUGGGGUGUGGAGGCGGCGCGGGGCGGCGGAGCGGGGAAGGGAGGAAGGAGAGCUAGAGGAGAGUGGAGACAGAGAGAAAGAACGACUUGUCCCUGGAGGUCCUCCCGGUACCGCGGUGAUCGGGAGCUAGAGCGGUCUAGGCCGGCGGAGGUGCGGUUUAGGCGGCCUUUACCUAGGUAGGGCAGGUCUAGGUGGGCCUAGGCUGGCCCGGGGGGUAGGAGCGGUGACCUCGUGCUGCCAGCCGCCCUCGCCGUACUGCAGCCCAUACAUACUCUCUUCUCUCUCUACUCGUCCUCUCUUUUUCCCUCCUGUUCUCCUCCGGUCUCCUUCUCUCUACCCUCGCCACUGGCGCAUGCUGGCGGGGCUGGUGUGCCAGCGCCGAACCGGUGGCGCCGGAGGCGCGCCUCGAAGCGCUGAUGCUGGUCGGCCUCCACCUCCGGUAGUACACCACCCGGCAGUCCAGCCCGAAGUCCCUGUUGCAGCAGGACGAGGCGUUCCAGUAGCCGGGGAUGGAGUCGCGAUUGCCGUCCACGCAGUUGCAGCUGGUGUCUCGGUCGAAGGGGAGGUCAUAACCUAGCAGCUCGCGAAGGGACGGUCCCUUCUACCGUAUGGACGGAAAGGACGGGACGUAGACACUUCAUCGAUGACUCGUCACUCCGGUAGCUCGCUGUGGUCUGGCGCCCUGUCGCACUCUUCUCCGUCCCCCACAGACCGCCCUACCCCUUCUGGUGCUCCUUCACACCGCUACCUCACGUUAGGGCUUCUUCUUCUUGUAACGUUUCUUUCUGGGAUCGGUUCGCGGUGGGUUAAGAGAAAGUAACUGGAUAGAUUACCGGUAGUUAAGUUAACCAGGUUCGACGACGCAAACUGGAAGGGUGACUGGGUGAUGUAGGAGCGAGUCGACGAAGACGAUACAAAGAAGAGGUACCGUAACAGCCGACGGUCACACGGACUGUAGUACGGAUACACUGGAGUAUAGUACGAGGAGAUGCACAAGAAGAGUGGGACCAAGGUACUCCUCUCUACAACAAGACACCAAGACAUCGAGAUGAGGUAUCGUUACUACCUCAGCGGAGGUCUACCCUAUCGUUAAUAGAGCCCUAGUACCACUCCAAUGACUCAGCUGGUAAGUAAACCGAGAUAAGCACACCUAGAUAAGUACACGUAGGCAUUUGACAUAAAUCCAUGUUGAUAACAAGAUCGUGAACACAAAUAAUAAAAACAUUUUUUUUCUAUAGAACUAGAGUAAUUUAACCCCAAAAUACAACUGUACUUUAAGAUUGACUUAAACGAUAAAUCGACUGUUAAGGUUGUUAAAGAACAUAACAUAAACGUACAUGCCUCGACGGAUUCGUUGCCGGUCCCCCGUAUACGAAGAGGAUGGUGAUUGUAGAAGUAGGAUAAACUCGGUCUUAUCGAAACCACGGGAGAGAGCGAGUACCACUCCGGCACGUGCGAACGGUACCAACACCGAUGCUUUAGAGUCUGACUCAGCGAAGCCAGCCCGUGAUAAGUCUAAUUACACCCUUAAAGAUCGUGUAAGGAGAAAAUGCCACUGCGAUCUAAGCUUAAACUUCCGCAUGAACGGGGACUCGACCGCCACGUACUCCUGUUGCUGCUGUUUUAAGACCGUAGCAGAGGUUCGAGGCAGCGUUCGUUGCGUCCUUGCGGAGUCCGAGUUUCAGCCCAACGACACGUCCGCUCGCCGUCGUCGGUGAAUGCAGAGAAGGUUCUUCCCGCGGUGGAACCUCCUCGUAUUGCUGUGGUCGACGUCGCCGCGUGCUCGGUUGUUUCCCCGUCCUGGUAACCUCUGCUGCCUGUGUCUCCACGUACGAUCCGUACGGCUAGUAGUCUGUGAUCCCUCGCUAGGGUGGGCACUACGGCGUCAUGUGCGUCGGUAGCGGCGGUGGCGGUGUACGGUACUAGAUGCCCGUUCACGGACGAGUCGUCGCAUGUUCUCUCUAGUGGCGCCCCGGGAUGAGCGGUUCUGCUACGAAGAGAAUAGCACGAAUAAAUGAACGGAAGAUACACACUGCUCUUCCUCGCCCUCUAAGUCUCCGAGUCCAACCGUAGUGAUCCACUCUAGGGACGACUAAACAGCUCGUGCCCUAUAUCUGAUAUCAGCCCAAGGAAGGAUUGAGACGACCCGGAUUACUUCUCUUUCUUAGUUGAAAACUCUAAUUAACCGAUCUAGGUUCGUCCGUCGACGUGUUGUAGCAGUUCCUCUUCUACUCUUGUUACACUACAAGUUUCUUCGUCCGAGGUCAAAACCAUUUACUCAUCACUACAACGUUGGUGGUUUUGUUUAGACUUUUUAUUCUGUUUCUGUUUGUCCAACUCUCCAACCAAUUACUAUACCUUCUAGUUCAUUUUUUUGCUUAAUAACCUUCGGGGCCGUUCGUUUCAUUUCUUUUGGGAUGAAUUGAACUAGUGUUUCCAACCUAGCACGUUCAUGUACAACAUAUUCAAAUGAUCCAACCCUGUCCAGCAUGACCACCAACGACCGUCUUAAGACUACACUAAGUGUACAAGAAGUCAAGUCUUCUACUUUGUUUUUGAGAGGUUUCUCCCCUUUGUUCGUGUCUAUUUCGGACUUCUCUAUACGUUAAACCUGAAUAUCCUUGACAGUGAAGUAAUAAUAUCACCUCAAUUUCCUUUAUCCUCCGUACUUUUGUACUGCUCGCUCCUUUCUAGUGACGAUGCGUUCUUUUUUACGUUCAGGUACACUAAAACGUUAUCCUCUCCGAAUCUGAAAGUCCCAAAAAUGAACUUUUUAGCG